ACCUCAAUUUUUUUUGAUAUUGAAGAUGGAUCAGAAGAGGAUGCUGGAUGGUGGAGAAAAAUUAGAUGAAGACUCUCUUCUCUUUGGUAUUUCCCUCACCCAAAAAUCUAGAACAGUUCUAGGUCUCUAACCCGAGAGAAGAACGGUUUCCUCUUUUGUUCAUGCCAAGGAAGAUGGAAACCUACCCAAAGCUCACAUCUCAAAGAAGAAUUUUUACCCCACUUUCUUUUUGGUAUCUCAUAGUGAAAAGCUCUCUUAGUUUGGUGCACAAAAAUGUAGCCAUUUUAUAAUUGUCGCACAAACC
Molecule: long non-coding RNA, 304 nt
Filed under: Elaeis guineensis (African oil palm)
Lineage: Eukaryota; Viridiplantae; Streptophyta; Magnoliopsida; Arecales; Arecaceae
Description: long non-coding RNA (EGUI_LNC045494)
Source: RNAcentral